AGCUCCAAUAGCGUAUAUUAAAGUUGUUGCAGUUAAAAAGCUCGUAGUUGAACUUUGGGCAGUUGGCCGAACGGGGCGUCUACGGACGUUUUUCCUGUUUGGCCGUGCCUUUUUUCCUGGGCGCCCGGUGGGCAUCCGUGUCCGCCGGGGCUUUGCUCAGGACUGUUACCUUGAAAAAAUUAGAGUGUUCAAAGCAGGCGAUUUGCUUGAAUAGAUUAGCAUGGAAUAAUGAAAUAGGAUUUUGGUUCUAUUUUGUUGGUUUCUAGGACCGAAGUAAUGAUUAAUAGGGACAGUUGGGGGCAUUAGUAUUUAAUUGUCAGAGGUGAAAUUCUUGGAUUUAUGAAAGACUAACUUCUGCGAAAGCAUUUGCCAAGGAUGUUUUCA
RNAcentral lists this ribosomal RNA (384 nucleotides) under uncultured eukaryote. RNAcentral describes it as "SSU rRNA". It matches the Rfam family "Eukaryotic small subunit ribosomal RNA", at positions 587 to 972 of the family's 1831-position model. The record is from RNAcentral.